CAGAUCUUUUGCAGACAGUUUUCGUGUCAAAAAAGAACACCCAGAGGCUCACACAAUCUUCAAGAAUACUCUGAAUCUCCCCUGUAGAACUUGCUACAACAGUGUCAGUAAUAAGGAAAACGACCGAGUCUCAGUUCAGCCGGAAACAAAUCCGUUAGGAUGCUCCCAUGGUAAUGAAGGAAGAUAGGACUGGACACGA
RNAcentral lists this long non-coding RNA (199 nucleotides) under Struthio camelus australis. RNAcentral's name for it is "lncRNA (ENSSCUG00000009273.1)". Lineage: Eukaryota; Metazoa; Chordata; Aves; Struthioniformes; Struthionidae. The record is from RNAcentral.